AAUACGUAGGGUGCAAGCGUUGUCCGGAAUUAUUGGGCGUAAAGAGCUCGUAGGCGGUUUGUCGCGUCGACUGUGAAAACCCGAGGCUUAACCUCGGGCCUGCAGUCGAUACGGGCAGACUAGAGUUCGGUAGGGGAGACUGGAAUUCCUGGUGUAGCGGUGAAAUGCGCAGAUAUCAGGAGGAACACCGGUGGCGAAGGCGGGUCUCUGGGCCGAUACUGACGCUGAGGAGCGAAAGCGUGGGGAGCGAACAGGA
RNAcentral lists this ribosomal RNA (256 nucleotides) under uncultured prokaryote. Its description in RNAcentral is "partial 16S ribosomal RNA". It matches the Rfam family "Bacterial small subunit ribosomal RNA", at positions 522 to 777 of the family's 1533-position model. The record is from RNAcentral.